AGUGAACGCUGGCGGUAGGCCUAACACAUGCAAGUCGAACGGCAGCACAGUAAGAGCUUGCUCUUACGGGUGGCGAGUGGCGGACGGGUGAGGAAUACAUCUGAAUCUACUUUUUCGUGGGGGAUAACGUAGGGAAACUUACGCUAAUACCGCAUACGACCUACGGGUGAAAGCAGUGGAUCUUCGGACCUUGCGCGAUUGAAUGAGCCGAUGUCGGAUUAGCUAGUUGGCGGGGUAAAGGCCCACCAAGGCGACGAUCCGUAGCUGGUCUGAGAGGAUGAUCAGCCACACUGGAACUGAGACACGGUCCAGACUCCUACGGGAGGCAGCAGUGGGGAAUAUUGGACAAUGGGCGCAAGCCUGAUCCAGCCAUACCGCGUGGGUGAAGAAGGCCUUCGGGUUGUAAAGCCCUUUUGUUGGGAAAGAAAAGCAGCAGGUUAAUACCCCGCUGUUCUGACGGUACCCAAAGAAUAAGCACCGGCUAACUUCGUG
This 492-nucleotide ribosomal RNA is filed under the name uncultured bacterium. RNAcentral describes it as "partial 16S ribosomal RNA". It matches the Rfam family "Bacterial small subunit ribosomal RNA", at positions 29 to 507 of the family's 1533-position model. The record is from RNAcentral.